Molecule: transfer RNA, 82 nt
Filed under: Actinomadura livida
Lineage: Bacteria; Bacillati; Actinomycetota; Actinomycetes; Streptosporangiales; Thermomonosporaceae
Description: tRNA-Asp
Source: RNAcentral
AGCGGGCGUGGGCGAGCGUGGCGAGGCUGUCGGCCUCGCCGCGGCGGUCGCCGAUCUCCCGGUGCAGCGCCAGGGCCCGCUC